AGUGAACGCUGGCGGUAGGCCUAACACAUGCAAGUCGAACGGCAGCACAGUAAGAGCUUGCUCUUACGGGUGGCGAGUGGCGGACGGGUGAGGAAUAAAUCGGAAUCUACUUUUUCGUGGGGGAUAACGUAGGGAAACUUACGCUAAUACCGCAUACGACCUACGGGUGAAAGCAGGGGAUCUUCGGACCUUGCGCGAUUGAAUGAGCCGAUGUCGGAUUAGCUAGUUGGCGGGGUAAAGGCCCACCAAGGCGACGAUCCGUAGCUGGUCUGAGAGGAUGAUCAGCCACACUGGAACUGAGACACGGUCCAGACUCCUACGGGAGGCAGCAGUGGGGAAUAUUGGACAAGGGGCGCAAGCCUGAUCCAGCCAUACCGCGUGGGUGAAGAAGGCCUUCGGGUUGUAAAGCCCUUUUGUUGGGAAAGAAAAGCAGCAGGUUAAUACCCCGCUGUUCUGACGGUACCCAAAGAAUAAGCACCGGCUAACUUCGUG
This 492-nucleotide ribosomal RNA is filed under the name uncultured bacterium. RNAcentral's name for it is "partial 16S ribosomal RNA". It matches the Rfam family "Bacterial small subunit ribosomal RNA", at positions 29 to 507 of the family's 1533-position model. The record is from RNAcentral.